UACGGAGGGUGCAAGCGUUGUUCGGAAUCACUGGGCGUAAAGGGCGUGUAGGCGGUCAUGUAAGUGGGAUGUGAAAGCCCUCGGCUCACCCGAGGAUCUGCAUCUCAAACUGCAUGGCUUGAGUAUGGGAGAGGAUGAGGGAAUUCCUGGUGUAGCGGUGAAAUGCGUAGAUAUCAGGAGGAACACCGGUGGCGAAGGCGCUCAUCUGGCCCAAUACUGACGCUGAGGCGCGAAAGCUAGGGGAGCAAACGGG
Molecule: ribosomal RNA, 253 nt
Filed under: uncultured bacterium
Lineage: Bacteria
Description: partial 16S ribosomal RNA
Rfam family: Bacterial small subunit ribosomal RNA
Source: RNAcentral